Molecule: ribosomal RNA, 477 nt
Filed under: uncultured bacterium
Lineage: Bacteria
Description: bacterial SSU rRNA
Rfam family: Bacterial small subunit ribosomal RNA
Source: RNAcentral
AUUGAACGCUGGCGGCAUGCCUUACACAUGCAAGUCGAACGGCAGCGGGCCUUCGGGUGCCGGCGAGUGGCGAACGGGUGAGUAAUGCAUCGGAACGUGCCAUUGAGUGGGGGGAUAACGUAGCGAAAGUUGCGCUAAUACCGCAUAUUCUGUGAGCAGGAAAGCAGGGGACCGCAAGGCCUUGCGCUCUUUGAGCGGCCGAUGUCAGAUUAGCUAGUUGGUGAGGUAAAGGCUUACCAAGGCGACGAUCUGUAGCGGGUCUGAGAGGAUGAUCCGCCACACUGGAACUGAGACACGGUCCAGACUCCUACGGGAGGCAGCAGUGGGGAAUUUUGGACAAUGGGGGCAACCCUGAUCCAGCCAUGCCGCGUGAGUGAAGAAGGCCUUCGGUUGGUAAAGCGUCUUUCGGCCCGGGAAGAAAUACGCAUGGGUGAAGUACCCUGUGUGGAUGACGGUACCGGAACAAGAAGCACCGGC